AUGAAGGUCUUCCACCGCGGCCCGGCCGCCAGCUCCGACCACUCCCGCACCUUGAGCAGCGCGUCCACCGCGCCCUGCCACCAGUGCUCCUCCUCCCCGCCCAGCGUCGCCGCCGCCCCGCCCACGCGCUGGUGGGAGGACGAGGAGGGCGCGGAGGAGGGCCAGCAGGGGAAGCAGCAGCACCGGCUGCCCCGGCGCGCGAAGAAGGCCGCCUCCGCCUCGUCCGCCGCGCCGCCGUGGUCGGCGUCCAUCGCCUCGCCGCGACCGUGGAUCGUGGAAGGAAGGAAGGAAACCCCUGCGCCGCCGGGCCGAUGUGGUUGGGUCUGGUCUCUUUGGUCUGUCGUGCAGUUGCGCCGUGUCGGGGCAGCGUAUGUUGUGCGGGCCUUUUAUCGGGAGGCCGCCCGCCGCGGGCAGGCCGUGGGCGGGGCAGGGGAGUCAACGGUGGGCGCGGCCGGCUGA
Molecule: ribosomal RNA, 459 nt
Filed under: Triticum aestivum (bread wheat)
Lineage: Eukaryota; Viridiplantae; Streptophyta; Magnoliopsida; Poales; Poaceae
Description: partial small subunit ribosomal RNA
Source: RNAcentral